GUGAUUGCUCAUGUUCACAAAAUCUCCACUUCAGGGAAUAUCAACCAUAUUUAUGGAAGGAAAAUGCCUUCUAGGGCAAAUACAAAUUCAACAAUAUAGUAAAGUUAUUCUUUACAUGAUGCAUAGUUAAAUCUCAGCAGAUGAAAUAUCAGCAGGUUCAUUAACUUACCACUCUACAUGGGGGCAUACUUGAUGAAACAAGUGGUGCUAUAGGAAAGAGUUAUGAGGUAGUGAAAUUUCAGAUCGUCGGCUUUAGUGCUUGCUUAAUCCUGCUUCUCUGUUGUAGAGGAAAAAGUCCCUGCUCACCAGUCAGAUGUAUCUUAUUAUUCUUAUGAAUAUGAUGUUGAUCCAUACACUGCUGAAAAUGAGGAUGGCAUGGAGAUGGCCAUCGAAUUCACAACAGCUGCAAGCUCAGCAGAAGAAGCCAAAAAAGGAAAAGCGUUGGAAACUCUCGAAUGAUAAUGAAGCCGUACAGAUCAUAUAUUUUUCUUGGCCAACCCAAUAAAGACUUGGAUCACAAUAAUAUAUCCCUUAAUUACAA
Spea bombifrons (plains spadefoot toad) is the source of this 541-nucleotide long non-coding RNA. RefSeq lists it as uncharacterized. The record is from RefSeq and is a predicted model, not a curated record. The transcript has 2 exons. NCBI's taxonomy places the organism in Eukaryota, Metazoa, Chordata, Amphibia, Anura, Pelobatidae.